GACUUCUAAAAGCGUAUAAAAGCCUCCCAUUCAAGAGGCUUUUUAACUUCAGUGGCUUCUUCUUCUCUUCCUCCAACAGCAGGAGACACCAGGCUUAGCGAAGAUGUCUUCCCAUCAGCAGAAACAGCAGCAGCAAAUCCCUUCAAAAUGCCAGGAAAAGUGUGCUCCAAAGUGCGUGGAGCAAUCCCAGGCCCCAAAAGGACAAGUCAAGUGUCCUGUGAAGAGCAUCCCCCAGCAACAGCAGCAGCAGCAAUGCCCCAAGCAGAAGUAGCACUGACAGCAGUGGCCACAAAGUGCCACAGAAGAUGCAAAUGCUCGUUUCCAAGCUCUCCUCCUGCCUGCUGGCUCUGCCAGAAUAGCUAGAAAUUUGCAGCACGCCUCCUUUGAUUGCGAGCAGAAAUUACUUUACAAAGAGAUGCAAUUCAUUUACUUGGAUUUAUUCACCCUCUGCUAUAAAAAAAAAAAAUAAUCAUGGGGCCGCUUUCUUCUGAUCUUUAAUUUGGGACAUGCAGCAAUAAAAUGAAAAGUAACCU
Long non-coding RNA from Calidris pugnax (ruff), 533 nucleotides. RefSeq lists it as uncharacterized. Lineage: Eukaryota; Metazoa; Chordata; Aves; Charadriiformes; Scolopacidae. The record is from RefSeq and is a predicted model, not a curated record. The transcript has 2 exons.